This 469-nucleotide ribosomal RNA is filed under the name uncultured bacterium. RNAcentral describes it as "bacterial SSU rRNA". It matches the Rfam family "Bacterial small subunit ribosomal RNA", at positions 10 to 463 of the family's 1533-position model. The record is from RNAcentral.
AGUUUGAUCCUGGCUCAGAACGAACGCUGGCGGCGUGCCUAACACAUGCAAGUCGCGCGAGAAAGCGGGGGCAACUCCGUGAGUAAAGCGGCGCACGGGUGAGUAAUACGUAGGUAACCUACCUCCGAGACCGGGAUAACCCUCCGAAAGGAAGGCUAAUACUGGAUGAGACCACGGAGCCUCGGCUCUGCGGUCAAAGGUGGCCUCUACUUGUAAGCUACCACUCAGAGAUGGGCCUGCGCACCAUUAGCUAGUUGGCGAGGUAACGGCUCACCAAGGCGAAGAUGGUUAGCUGAUCUGAGAGGAUGAUCAGCCACACUGGGACUGAGACACGGCCCAGACUCCUACGGGAGGCAGCAGUGGGGAAUCUUGGACAAUGGGGGAAACCCUGAUCCAGCGACGCCGCGUGGGUGAUGAAGGCCUUCGGGUCGUAAAGCCCUGUCGGGAGGGAAAAAACUCCUGCCGGUGA